CUCAGAGCUGCGGGCAGCUGCGCAUCCCUCGCAUCCCGCGGGCUGGGGGGGAGGCUGAGACACUGGGGAAAUGCAGAGCGUGGCUGGGGAUUAGAAAAAAGGACUUUAAAAUCAAAAAACUACAAGUCGGUCGUUUGCAGGCAGAUGCUAGGAAGUCUGCGGAUUCACUGGUGGACGGAUUUGAAUACUGGAGGUUCAUAAUGGGAUUGAUUCUGCUCUGUGAAAACUAA
Molecule: long non-coding RNA, 230 nt
Filed under: Cyanistes caeruleus (blue tit)
Lineage: Eukaryota; Metazoa; Chordata; Aves; Passeriformes; Paridae
Description: lncRNA (ENSCCEG00000017578.1)
Source: RNAcentral